RNAcentral lists this ribosomal RNA (179 nucleotides) under uncultured bacterium. RNAcentral describes it as "partial 16S ribosomal RNA". It matches the Rfam family "Bacterial small subunit ribosomal RNA", at positions 338 to 508 of the family's 1533-position model. The record is from RNAcentral.
CCUACGGGAGGCAGCAGUGAGGAAUUUUGGGCAAUGGGCGCAAGCCUGACCCAGCGACGCCGCGUGGAGGAUGAAGGCCUUCGGGUCGUAAACUCCUGUUCUGAGGGAAGAAAACGGGGUGAGCGAAUAACUCAUUCCGCUGACGGUACCUCAGGAGUAAGCUCCGGCUAAUUACGUGC